AUUGAACGCUGGCGGCAGGCCUAACACAUGCAAGUCGAACGGUAACAGGAAGAAGCUUGCUUCUUUGCUGACGAGUGGCGGACGGGUGAGUAAUGUCUGGGAAACUGCCUGAUGGAGGGGGAUAACUACUGGAAACGGUAGCUAAUACCGCAUAACGUCGCAAGCCCAAAAAGGGGGACCUUCGGGCCUCUUGCCAUCGGAUGUGCCCAGAUGGGAUUCGCUAGUAGGUGGGGUAACGGCUCACCUAGUCGACGAGCCCUAGCUGGUCUGAGAGGAGGACCAGCCACACUGGAACUGAGACACGGUCCAGACUCCUACGGGAGGCAGCAGUGGGGAAUAUUGCACAAUGGGCGCAAGCCUGAUGCAGCCAUGCCGCGUGUAUGAAGAAGGCCUUCGGGUUGUAAAGUACUUUCAGCGGGGAGGAAGGGAGUAAAGUUAAUACCUUUGCUCAUUGACGUUACCCGCAGAAGAAGCACCGGCUAACUCCGUG
Molecule: ribosomal RNA, 490 nt
Filed under: uncultured bacterium
Lineage: Bacteria
Description: partial 16S ribosomal RNA
Rfam family: Bacterial small subunit ribosomal RNA
Source: RNAcentral